UGUGACCGCCUGGGGAGUCAGGGGCGGAAGUCGGGAUCUGACCCACUCCAGGUCCUGGACUGCGGAUAGAAGAGGACCGCCGCCGUGAGGGAGGGGUGGAAACUGGGUGCCGACUCCGCGCGCGACCUCCGGCCCUGCGCGUGCGCCGCUGGCGCGGCCCGGCUGACAGGUUCUUUAAUGGAGCAGCCAAUCUCUCUGCACACCUGAUUUCAUCUAAUAAUCUGCAGACACCAGCUCUGAGGCCAGUUAAUCAUCCCCAGUGUCCAGGCACAGAGUAGUCGGUCCUCCUCACAAUGUUGGACUUUCUAGCCGAGAACAACCUCUGUGGCCAAGCAAUCCUAAGGAUUGUUUCCUGUGGUAAUGCCAUCAUUGCUGAACUUUUGAGGCUCUCUGAGUUUAUUCCUGCUGUGUUCAGGUUAAAAGACAGAGUUGAUCAACAGAAAUAUGGAGAUAUCAUAUUUGAUUUCAGCUAUUUUAAGGGUCCGGAAUUAUGGGAAAGCAAACUGGAUGCUAAGCCAGAGCUACAGGAUUUAGAUGAAGAAUUUCGUGAAAACAACAUAGAAAUUGUGACCAGAUUUUAUUUAGCAUUUCAAAGUGUGCAUAAAUAUAUUGUAGACUUAAACAGAUAUCUAGAUGAUCUCAAUGAAGGGGUUUAUAUUCAGCAAACCUUAGAAACUGUGCUUCUCAAUGAAGAUGGAAAACAACUUCUAUGUGAAGCACUGUACUUAUAUGGAGUUAUGCUACUGGUCAUUGACCAAAAGAUUGAAGGAGAAGUCAGAGAGAGGAUGCUGGUUUCUUACUACCGAUACAGUGCUGCUCGAUCUUCUGCUGAUUCAAAUAUGGACGAUAUUUGUAAGCUGCUUCGAAGUACAGGUUAUUCUAGCCAACCAGGUGCCAAAAGACCACCCAACUAUCCCGAGAGCUAUUUCCAGAGAGUGCCUAUCAACGAAUCCUUCAUCAAUAUGGUCAUUGGUCGACUGAGAUCUGAUGAUAUUUACAACCAGGUCUCAGCGUAUCCUUUGCCGGAGCAUCGCAGCACAGCCCUGGCAAACCAAGCUGCCAUGCUGUACGUGAUUCUCUACUUUGAGCCUUCCAUCCUUCACACCCAUCAAGCAAAAAUGAGAGAGAUAGUGGAUAAAUACUUUCCAGAUAAUUGGGUAAUUAGUAUUUACAUGGGGAUCACAGUUAAUCUAGUGGAUGCUUGGGAACCUUACAAAGCUGCAAAAACUGCUUUAAAUAAUACCCUGGACCUUUCAAAUGUCAGAGAACAGGCAAGCAGAUAUGCUACUGUCAGUGAAAGAGUGCAUGCUCAAGUGCAGCAAUUUCUAAAAGAAGGUUAUUUAAGGGAGGAGAUGGUUCUGGACAAUAUCCCAAAGCUUCUGAACUCCCUGAGAGACUGCAAUGUUGCCAUCCGAUGGCUGAUGCUUCAUACAGCAGACUCAGCCUGUGACCCAAACAACAAACGCCUUCGUCAAAUCAAGGACCAGAUUCUAACAGAUUCUCGGUACAAUCCCAGGAUCCUCUUCCAGCUGCUAUUGGAUACUGCACAAUUUGAGUUUAUACUCAAAGAGAUGUUCAAGCAAAUGCUUUCAGAAAAGCAAACCAAAUGGGAGCAUUACAAGAAAGAGGGUUCAGAGCGGAUGACUGAGCUUGCUGAUGUCUUUUCAGGAGUGAAACCCCUAACCAGAGUGGAGAAAAAUGAAAACCUUCAAGCUUGGUUCAGAGAGAUCUCAAAACAAAUAUUGUCUUUAAAUUAUGAUGAUUCUACUGCUGCGGGCAGAAAAACUGUACAACUGAUACAAGCUUUGGAGGAGGUUCAAGAAUUCCACCAGCUGGAAUCCAAUCUGCAAGUAUGUCAGUUUCUUGCCGAUACUCGAAAGUUUCUUCAUCAGAUGAUCAGAACCAUUAACAUUAAAGAGGAGGUUCUGAUCACAAUGCAGAUCAUUGGGGACCUUUCUUUCGCUUGGCAGUUGAUUGACAGUUUCACAUCCAUCAUGCAAGAAAGCAUAAGGGUAAAUCCAUCCAUGGUUACUAAACUCAGAGCUACCUUCCUAAAGCUUGCCUCUGCCCUCGAUCUGCCCCUUCUUCGUAUUAAUCAGGCAAAUAGCCCCGAUCUGCUCAGCGUGUCGCAGUACUAUUCUGGAGAGUUGGUAUCCUAUGUGAGAAAAGUUUUGCAGAUCAUCCCAGAAAGCAUGUUUACAUCUCUUCUAAAGAUCAUAAAGCUUCAGACCCACGACAUUAUUGAAGUGCCUACGCGCCUGGACAAAGACAAGCUGAGGGACUAUGCUCAGCUGGGCCCACGAUACGAGGUUGCCAAGCUUACUCAUGCUAUCUCCAUUUUUACUGAAGGCAUCUUAAUGAUGAAAACGACUUUGGUUGGCAUCAUCAAGGUGGAUCCAAAGCAGUUGCUGGAAGAUGGAAUAAGGAAAGAGCUUGUGAAGCGCGUUGCCUUUGCCCUGCAUAGGGGACUGAUAUUCAACCCUCGAGCCAAGCCAAGUGAACUGAUGCCCAAGCUGAAAGAGUUGGGAGCGACCAUGGAUGGAUUCCAUCGUUCUUUUGAAUACAUACAGGACUAUGUCAACAUUUAUGGUCUGAAGAUUUGGCAGGAAGAAGUAUCUCGUAUUAUAAAUUACAACGUGGAGCAAGAGUGUAAUAACUUCCUAAGAACGAAGAUUCAAGAUUGGCAAAGCAUGUACCAGUCCACUCAUAUUCCCAUACCCAAGUUUACCCCUGUGGAUGAGUCUGUAACGUUUAUUGGUCGACUCUGCAGAGAAAUCCUGCGGAUCACAGACCCAAAAAUGACAUGUCACGUAGACCAGCUGAACACUUGGUAUGAUAUGAAAACUCAUCAGGAAGUGACCAGCAGCCGCCUCUUCUCAGAAAUCCAGACCACCUUGGGGACUUUUGGUCUAAAUGGCUUAGACAGGCUUCUGUGCUUUAUGAUUGUAAAAGAGUUACAGAAUUUCCUCAGUAUGUUUCAGAAAAUUAUCCUGAGAGACAGAACUGUUCAGGACACUUUAAAAACCCUCAUGAAUGCUGUCAGUCCCCUAAAAAGUAUUGUAGCAAAUUCAAAUAAAAUUUAUUUUUCCGCCAUUGCCAAAACACAGAAGAUUUGGACUGCGUAUCUCGAGGCUAUAAUGAAGGUUGGGCAGAUGCAGAUUCUGAGACAACAGAUUGCCAAUGAAUUAAAUUAUUCUUGUCGGUUUGAUUCUAAACAUCUGGCAGCUGCUCUGGAGAAUCUCAAUAAGGCUCUCCUAGCAGACAUUGAAGCCCACUAUCAGGACCCUUCACUUCCUUACCCCAAAGAAGAUAACACACUUUUAUAUGAAAUCACAGCCUAUCUGGAGGCAGCUGGCAUUCACAACCCACUAAAUAAGAUAUACAUAACAACAAAGCGCCUACCCUAUUUUCCAAUUGUAAACUUUCUAUUUUUGAUCGCUCAGUUGCCAAAACUUCAAUACAACAAAAAUCUGGGAAUGGUCUGCCGAAAACCAACCGACCCGGUUGAUUGGCCGCCCCUUGUCCUGGGACUGCUCACUCUACUGAAGCAGUUCCAUUCCCGGUACACCGAGCAGUUCCUGGCACUGAUCGGCCAGUUUAUCUGCUCCACGGUGGAGCAGUGUACAAGCCAGAAGAUACCUGAAAUUCCCGCAGAUGUUGUGGGUGCCCUUCUGUUCCUGGAGGAUUAUGUUCGGUACACAAAGCUACCCAGGAGGGUUGCUGAAGCACAUGUGCCUAAUUUCAUUUUUGAUGAGUUCAGAACAGUGCUAUAACUGUUUUUUCCUACUUCUUCAAUGGAAGGAUUGUCCUUAGAUCUUCCCACCAUCACUAAAAUGAAUUUGAAGAUGAAAAGAAACUCAGUUGCUCAUAUAACUGCAUUUUUUGCCGUCUAUUAUGGGAAACAUCAGACAUUCUGGGGCAGUCUACUCCAAUUAACCUCUGGAUUGGAAAAAAGAAAAAAAACGAAAAACCACCACAUUUACAAUAAAAGAAAAAUAAAUGCUAAAAAUAUCAGGUAAUGGAUGACCCUUUUCAUAAAUAUUAGUAAUUUCCCCAUCUUAAAGCUUCAAAAGUGGCUUAACUAAAUGAAAAUUUAUUGAAAUGUUUCCAUGUACAUGUUGAAAAUGACAUUAUUUAAAAUCUAAGUUUGCCCACUUCAUUUCACUUCAUUUCUGUUAAUAAUUUGUUACUAAAGUGGUUUCA
RNA transcript from Symphalangus syndactylus (siamang), 4203 nucleotides. It is a transcript of the gene named WASH complex subunit 5, with no coding region annotated. The record is from RefSeq and is a predicted model, not a curated record. NCBI's taxonomy places the organism in Eukaryota, Metazoa, Chordata, Mammalia, Primates, Hylobatidae.